CCAUCCACGUAAAAGCCGUAUCGAUUUUUUUUAAGUCGGCUCUAAGAAUAAACCCUACAGCUACAUGGGACAGGUCAAUAUAUUAUCUUGACACAGCUCCUCAUUAUAAUGACGCCGGAAGCCCUCACAAGCAACACAGCUCGAUCAACUCCUCCAACAUAUAAUCCGCCAGCAUCCCUCCAAAAGCCACUCAUCUCCUUCUUAAACGGAUAACCUGGGUUACCAUUGGGCCUUAACAUUUAGCAAGAACAAGGUUCAAGAAACAUGCCUCCUUAGUCAUCAGGGCUUACGCAACGCAAUAGUCAAAGUGCAUGAACGGGGUUUUUGUACUUCAAGUGAAUGCAUAGUGUUUGUUGUGGAGGAUAAACCAAAGCCAUUGGUGGAUAUGAUACCUAACCCCAAGUUAAGGGGACAACAACUAUCUAACAAAACACUGCGCUUUGUUGAAUGCGAGAGAACGUAAUUACUUUUACGUGGCAGUAACGGCGGAGAUGUUUUCUUUAAAUGUGUUAAGGUAUGAUGCCACAACAUGAAGUGUUGGAGAUGAUGUUUACUAUAACAAAAAUGAUGCGUAUUCCCACUACAAGUAUUUGAGGGAUGCAGUUCUCCACAUUGUGAACCCGAAGGCAUGGGAGCCAAAAGACGGCAAGCCAGAUUGGGCUUGUUAUUACUCACGGAAGCUCCUCUGGAUGUAGGAGGAGAUGAAUGAUGACAGGAGGGAUGAAUUUGUAGGGAAAUCUCAGAAAAAGAAUGGAGAGACAGUAUAGAGCCGGCUAUAAUUGUCGAGUCAAGCAAAAAUGGAACCGGGAAUUGCAUUGCCUAGCAUUUUUGCAAUAAAAAUGCAAUAUAUUUCCUCUUUAUAUUAUUCCCUUCAAUGGAAAAACCGAGCUAGAUUUUGAGGGGCCACGAACAGUGGCACAUGAGAACCUUUUAAGGGUGAUUGAUAUUGAUGUUGGAAGACAAUUGACAUUAUACGAGGCUGCUGAUCAAAUAAUUCUCCUAUGGCUAAAGAACCAUAGAAUGCAAUAUAACAGAAAAAGUGAGCAGUAUGGUUGUCCAGCGACAAUGCAAAAGAAUUUAAAACAAUAAUCAGGGGUCUUCUGAAUGCUAUACUGAAAGUGCAUGAACAUGGGUUCUGCACAUCAAGGGAGUGGACGGUGUACGUGCACGAAAAUAAGCCGAAGUUGUUAGUCGAUAUGUCACCUAACCCCAAAUUAGGGGCUGAUGCUGUUCACCGUGGAGCAUACGGAAAAUGCUAAUAUGCCUGUGGACGUCCAAUGUUUUGUAGAUUUCCUAAAGGAUGAAAUCGCACAAUGGAACAACGUAUACCUCACGAAGUGCUCAUGGAUUCCCGGGAGCGCAUGUACUUUUUUGUUGGUGUAAUGGCCGAAAUGGAUUCUCUUGGAUCGGCUGCAACCAUUAGACUAAAACUAAAAAUGUCUCCGUUCCUGGAUGUAUCAAUCGAAGGGGAUGUUCUAAAAAAUUGGACUUUAAGAAUUCUGACACAUUCACUUGCCGAGGACGUAUUAGUUUUUUUAUUCCAAGACAGGACAUUAUGGAGACGAGUUUCGCUAUAAAAAAGAAGAUACGUAUGAACAUUAUAAGUUUUUGAGGGACUUUGUUCUUCAUAUGGUGAGCUUGAAGCCAUGAGAAAGGCCAAAAGUCAAUUCUAAAUGGGGACUAGGAAAGGACAUACAAUAUAUUGAUAAAGUUCUUUCAACCUUAUAUCGCGAUUCAAUUUCAAACCUGCAGAGGUUCCUGUUAGAGGAAUCAAAACUUGGGCACUUUCUGAAGCAAUGGCCAAAAGGCUUUGCGUCUACUAGAUGCUGCUUUUGUAUCAAGAUCUGCUCUGACUGAUGCUCUCAAGCUAAAAGAACCAAAACAAGAACAGUGAGGCGGCGGCGACAAUAGCAAAUGGAGAGAUGGUGGCGGUGGUGGAUGAAGAGAUGGAUGUCGGCGGUGGUUGUGAGAUCCAGCUAUGCUUAUUUAAACCAAAUAAAUCUCCCCAAUUUGUGUUUGCCUCGUUUGUAUCGAACAACAAAUCAAGGGAAGAAGUUACAGACUUCGAUUCUUCACGGUGUACCCAGAAAAGCUACAAGAUACAUUCGCAAACCCCACAUCACCAUAGUCUGCCGCUGCCAUUCGCCUGCCUCACCAUCACCAAAACCCAAGCAACCCCACUGGCGAGGAUGAAGACGGCGGUUUGCGAGGGUAGUGAGCUUAGAACGGCGGUUCGCGAGCAAGUGGGAAUCUCGGCCGGUGGUGGCAAUGGCAGCAAACAGCGAUUCCGGCGAUGGGCUUUGGAGAGGACUGGUUCGGCCGUGAGCUCGAGACGCCUCCGUCUUUAUCUCCCUCCCCGGCGACGGCUCCGUCUAUAUAUAUAUAUAUGUAUUUAUAUAUAUAUAAUUUGUAAAUUUAAAAUAUAUAUAUAUCUAUGUAUAUGUGUAUCCGAAAAUAUCGUUCUCACAUUCAAGUGUCAGGCUCCGAACAGCUUGGUUCCAGUGACUUCGCCAGUUUCUCUCCAAAACAGGAAAAAUGAUUUUGGCAGUAUCACUUGACAAUUCUAUGUGAUCAAAUUCCUUGUGUGAUCAUUGUUUCACAGAAACAUGGCACGCUCAGCCACCUGCCAGAUAAAACCAAAUAUAUUAGGGAGAACAAGGAACACAUAAUUCCUUAUUAGUUUCUUACUAGUUCAAUCCUUGUCAGUUAGUGUGAAACGAUUAGACAAACGAUAAACAAAAGGGAAAAUAUAUUAUGUCCAACUUCACUACUAUAUCUUUGUAUAUAUAUAUGUAUCUUCUCCAGUUUUCCCUUCCCUCCGCUACCACCAAAUGAAGGAAAAGAAGGGUCAA
Molecule: long non-coding RNA, 2852 nt
Organism: Cornus florida
Lineage: Eukaryota; Viridiplantae; Streptophyta; Magnoliopsida; Cornales; Cornaceae
Exons: 10
Source: RefSeq, a predicted model, not a curated record